RNAcentral lists this non-coding RNA (120 nucleotides) under Skermanella stibiiresistens. RNAcentral describes it as "TPP sequence". It matches the Rfam family "TPP riboswitch aptamer (THI element)". Rfam says of the family: Vitamin B(1) in its active form thiamin pyrophosphate (TPP) is an essential coenzyme that is synthesised by coupling of pyrimidine and thiazole moieties in bacteria. The previously detected thiamin-regulatory element, thi box was extended, resulting in a new, highly conserved RNA secondary structure, the THI element, which is widely distributed in eubacteria and also occurs in some archaea. RNAcentral also lists the same sequence under 1 other name. Lineage: Bacteria; Pseudomonadati; Pseudomonadota; Alphaproteobacteria; Rhodospirillales; Azospirillaceae. The record is from RNAcentral.
GCGCAUUCCCAGGGGAGCCCCGAUAGGGGGCUGAGAUUCCGCCGGCCGUAUGCGCGACGCGGAGACCCUUUGAACCUGAUCCGGGUCGUGCCGGCGUAGGAAGGGGAGAGACGGCCGCAU